Molecule: ribosomal RNA, 430 nt
Filed under: uncultured bacterium
Lineage: Bacteria
Description: bacterial SSU rRNA
Rfam family: Bacterial small subunit ribosomal RNA
Source: RNAcentral
GAGUGAGUGGCGGUACGGGUGAGUAACACGUGGUAACCUGCCUAAAGUGGGGAUAACAUUUGGAAACAGAUGCUAAUACCGCAUAAAACCUAACACCGCAUGGUGUAGGGUUGAAAGAUGGUUUCGGCUAUCACUUUAGGAUGGACCCGCGGUGCAUUAGUUAGUUGGUGAGGUAAAGGCUCACCAAGACCGUGAUGCAUAGCCGACCUGAGAGGGUAAUCGGCCACACUGGGACUGAGACACGGCCCAGACUCCUACGGGAGGCAGCAGUAGGGAAUCUUCCACAAUGGACGAAAGUCUGAUGGAGCAACGCCGCGUGAGUGAAGAAGGUUUUCGGAUCGUAAAACUCUGUUGUUGGAGAAGAAUGUAUCUGAUAGUAACUGAUCAGGUAGUGAUGGUAUCCAACCAGAAAGCCACGGCUAACUACGUG